Molecule: long non-coding RNA, 1549 nt
Filed under: Mytilus galloprovincialis (Mediterranean mussel)
Lineage: Eukaryota; Metazoa; Mollusca; Bivalvia; Mytilida; Mytilidae
Source: RNAcentral
ACCUACGACACACACAGUGACACAGACAGUACCUACGACACACACAGUGACACAGACAGUACAUAAGACACACACAGUGACAGGACCUAUGACACAGACAGAGACACACUCAGUGACACAGACAGUACCUAAGACACACACAGUGACAGUACCUUUUACACAGACAGAGACACACACAGUGACAUAGACAGUAGCUAAGACAUACACAGAGACAUUACCUUUGACAAAGACACAGGCUGACUUAUACUCACAAACAAACCUAAAAAGAAAGAUUAACCAGCAGGCCAAGAAAACAAAAAGUAUAAAAAGGUACUGUAGCUGAACUUUAAUUUAAUUUAUGUGAACUUUAAACUACCGGUAGCAAGAAAUUAACUAAAAAUUAAUUCAAACUUAUGACCAUUAGAAUUAUUAGAAUGUAACCUCGUUUAUUAAUGGACUCGGGACAUUUUAGCUAAAAAAAAAAAAAAACUACAAAGGGACAUUUUAGCACCGACAUAGCCCAUUUUAGCGAAAACGUACAGGGUUGAAUAAUACACACCCUACUAGAACCAGUAAUUUAUACUGGUUUAAUCUUUAAGUUAUUUAUAUGUUCAUCAUGGAAAUACAAGUUCUUGAAACAAACAGAGGGGGGGGAGUGUAAUUUGUGACAGAUACCGAUAUAAGAUAGACAAAAUACAGUAUUGUACAGUGAUUAUAUUAAGAGCCCAUUAUGUGCCUUUUCUAGGAUAUAAAUUCAAGGGUAGAACGGACUUUUCUCAUUUGAUUUAACCUUUUAGACUUUUAGUCCUGUAUUUUAUCUAGGAUAGAAACAAUAACAGAUGUUUUACAUUUGAUUGAAUCUUUUAGACUUUUAAUACUGUAUUUUAAUGGAUAAUAUAUGCUUUAUAUUGUGCUGUCUUGAGUCUAUUAAAGUUUUUUUUUAUUUUAUAUUAUCCAUGAUAAUGGGUUAAAAAUAUUUUGCUGAAAUGGGCAUUAAUAGUUUGAAAUUUCGCUAAAAUGGGUUCUACUUUGACUUGGCUAAAACCACGAAAUUAAAUAUACACGGAUAUGUAAGUUUUCCUGAAACCAUGAAAAUUGGUACCCACGAAAAAAAAUUGAAUCCACAGUAUCUGUAUUUUACAUUAUAAGUAAUAGUUGAAUAAUAGAUUUGCUAUUAAAAUUUACUACAAAUAUUUUAUACUGUGAUCUUUGUUAAAGUUUUAUUUAAACAUAGGUUUUUCUUAUUUAUUAGAUUUAAUAUGUUGUAAACUAUAGUCUGUAUAUCAAAUAGGAGUUUUGAGCCUAAAUCAUGUUUGACUGUUUUUUUAAUAUAGUUGAAAUAUAAUUUCAUUUUUUUUUUUAAUUCUGCAGCAUAAAUGUAUAACUUGUAUUUUUGUAGAGUUUAAAGAAGAAGAAACAUGCUAAGAAGAUGAAGAAGACAUUUUUAAAGGAUUUUCACAAGAUUACUAUUCUUGGGAAUAUGAAAUCUAUACCAUCAAAUUUAUUAGUUCGACUAUUUUUUGGCUAAGAAAAUGAAAAAUAUUUAGUUUCUCUGUUGUCUUGCUCUAAC